Molecule: ribosomal RNA, 451 nt
Filed under: uncultured soil bacterium
Lineage: Bacteria
Description: partial 16S ribosomal RNA
Source: RNAcentral
AAUUCGAUUCGGGUGUGACAAGGCCCGGGAACGUAUUCACCGCGGGCGUGCUGAUCCGCGAUUACUAGCGAUUCCAACUUCAAGCAGGCGAGUUGCAGCCUGCUAUCCGAACUGAGACCGACUUUCUCCGAUUAGCUCCACCUUGCGGCUUUGCAACGGUUUGUAUCGGCCAUUGUAGCACGUGUGUAGCCCCAGACAUAAAGGCCAUGCUGACUUGACGUCAUCCCCACCUUCCUCCGGUUUAUCACCGGCAGUCUUUGCAGAGUGCCCAGCAUUACCUGAUGGCAACAGCAAACAAGGGUUGCGCUCGUUGCGGGACUUAACCCAACAUCUCACGACACGAGCUGACGACAGCCAUGCAGCACCUCUACAAGUGCCCUUGCGGGAGCUCCCUUUCGGGAGUGGUCACUCGCAGUUCAAGCCUGGGUAAGGUUCUUCGCGUUAAUCACUA